RNAcentral lists this ribosomal RNA (260 nucleotides) under uncultured bacterium. RNAcentral describes it as "partial small subunit ribosomal RNA". It matches the Rfam family "Bacterial small subunit ribosomal RNA", at positions 26 to 285 of the family's 1533-position model. The record is from RNAcentral.
AGGACGAACGCUGGCGGCGUGCUUAACACAUGCAAGUCGAGCGAGGCCCUCUCUUCGGAGAGGUGCCCUAGCGGCGAACGGGUGAGUAACACGUGGGCAACCUGCCCCUAGCCACUGGGAUAAGGCCCGGGAAACCGGGUCUAAUACCGGAUAUGACCUUCAAGGGCAUCCUCGAAGGUGUAAAGGAUUCUGGCUAGGGAUGGGCCCGCGGCCUAUCAGCUUGUUGGUGGGGUAAUGGCCCACCAAGGCAACGACGGGUA